This 87-nucleotide transfer RNA is filed under the name Halomonas sp. RNAcentral describes it as "tRNA-Leu". It matches the Rfam family "tRNA". From Rfam's summary of the family: Transfer RNA (tRNA) molecules are approximately 80 nucleotides in length. Their secondary structure includes four short double-helical elements and three loops (D, anti-codon, and T loops). Lineage: Bacteria; Pseudomonadati; Pseudomonadota; Gammaproteobacteria; Oceanospirillales; Halomonadaceae. The record is from RNAcentral.
GCCGGUGUGGCGGAAUUGGUAGACGCAGCGGAUUCAAAAUCCGCCGCUGGAGACAGUGUGUCGGUUCGAGUCCGACCGCCGGCACCA